AUGUCGAACUCUUGUGAUCCCAUGGACUGUCGCCUGCCAGGCUCCUCUGUCCAUGGAAUUCUCCAGGCAAGAAUACUGGGGUGGGUAGCCAUUCUCUUCCCCAGGGGAUCUUCCCGACUCGGGAAGGGGAUCCAACCCGGGCCUCCUGCACUGCAGGCAGAUUCUUCAUUGUUUGAGCCACCAGUUGAAGCCCAUACAACUUCUGAUUACAUCUCAACAUCAAACUCUUCCUGUAACCUCCCCCCCCAACCCCAAACAUUCCAGUGCUCCCUACAAGCCUCCACUCGUCUCUAUAAGAAUCCUGUAACAACCGCACAAACAACCCUAUUCUCGUUCCUGUUCUUUUUACAUAUGAAUUCGCUAAAACACUCCCCCCUCCCCCCCUUAGCAUCUCAUAACGCCCCCAAUUUCACACCCGAUUCCCCAUCACACUCUCCGUUCCUCCGAGCAUCUCAGUUAGUUCCUCGGGCUGUUAUUUUAUUUUCUCCCAUGACAACCCUUAAAUCCCUUCAUCUCACCCCGAUCCUCGUCUGCCCCAGGGUUGCCAUGGCAACGCCGGUCUCUGAUCUCUCUCUCUCUCUCUCUCUCUCUCUCUCUCUCUCUAUCCGCAGUGCCCCGCAGCAACCCUCCGCGCACCUAGCCAGGCUCAUCACUAUGGAAACCGGAGCAGUCUCUCCACCCACCUCAUGGACAAACUGCUACACAGGAUGUUCCCUCUGCAGAGAGUGCACUUCCCCAUUCUUACCCUGCCAAAUGCAUCCUUCAAGAUCCAGUUCUCUGAAGAAACUUCUGCUCUGUCCCGUUUUGCUGGCCAUAAACCUCUUCUUCCUCUGCACUCGCAUCCGAUCCAUUUGUCACAAGAAAGCUGCCAGGGGUAAUUUUAUUUCUGGACAUCCAAUCGAGCCAUGGGUAUGUGUAUCAUUCACUCAGUUGUGUCUGAUUCUUUGCAACCCCAUGGACUGUAGCCUGCCAGGCUCCUCUGUCCAUGGAAUUCUCCAGGCAAGAAUACUGGAGUGGAUUGCCAUUCCCUUCUUCAAGGGGAUCUUCCCAACCCAGGGAUCGAACCUGAUCUUCUACAUUGCAGGCAGAUUCUUUACUGUCUGAACCACCAGGGGAGCCCCAUCAAGCCAUGCCCUUGUGUGAAAAAAAAUUUUUUUUUGGUAAGAUUUCACCCCAUCUCUUUUUAAAAAAUUAAUUUAUUUUGCGGCAUCAGGUCUUAGCUGCUGCACAAGGGAUCUUCCUUGUGUCACGUGGGAUCUUUCACUGCAGAGCACCAACUCUCUAGUUGUGCUGUCUGGGUUUAGUAGUUGUGGCCUCUGGGCUUAGCUUCUCCUUAGCAUGUGGGAUCUUAGUUCCCCUGAACAGGGAUGGAACCCACAUCCCUGCAUUGCAAAGCAGAUUCUUAAUAACUGGACUGCCAGGGAGCAUCCCCCCAACAUGAAGAACUGAAUGGCUUCCCACUGCUCCCAGAAUAAAGACUCAUCUUCUCCUGUUCCUCCUGUAUGUUUAAGGUCCUGAUGUCACUAUCCACAUCUCUCCCUUUCUCAUACCCUGACCCUCUUCUGCUAGCCCUUUUUCAGUUUACAGUACAGCUGAGCUCUUUCCCUCCUAGGAUUCUCCCUAACCCAUGUCCAAGAAUCUAAGUAUAAGACAGUUAAGUGGGGAGGCUUGGGACAUUGAUGUGCACUGGACUGUGGUGGGGUUUGCCUGCUCAGAAUUCCUCCUGCCUCCUUUCUUGAACCACCCUCCAUCUUUGGAACUUCCCAGGUGGUCCAGUGGCUAAGACUCCAUGCUCCCAAUGCAAGGGGCCUGGGUUCAAUCCCUGGUCAGGGAACUAGAUCCCACAUGCUGCAUGAAGACCCAGUAUAGCCAAAUAAAUAAUAAAUAUAAAAACGCCUCAAACUCCUCACUCUUUGUGAUCCUGUACAUUCUGUCUGCCCCAUUAUCCUAUUACAGGAGUAGGCAUAUGUCCAGGCUGACUGAUCAGAGCAGUGAUUCUCUAAGCAUGGUCUUUAAACCAGGUGCAUCAGCAUCAUUAGACAUGUAAAUUCUCAGGCCCUGCCUCAGACCUACUCAAUCAGAAAUUCAGGGUGAUGUCUACGUCUUAACAAGAUCUCUGGGUAAUCAAUUUCCUGAGGCUUGCUCAAGUUUGAGCAACACAUAAACAAGACACAAUGAAAGACAAAACCCAUCGAUGCCAAUAGUUAAAUAGCUUUGAAGUGUCAUGGUUGUUCAGUUCAGUCGCUCAGUCGUGUCCGAUUCUUUGCGACCCCAUGAAUCGCAGCACACCAGGCCUCCCUGUCCAUCACCAACUCCCAGAGUUCACUCAGACUCACGGCCAUCAAGUCUGCGAUGCCAUCCAGCCAUCUCAUCCUCAGUCGUUCCCUUCUCGUCCUGCCCCCAAUCCCUCCCAGCAUCAGGGUCUUUUUCAAUGAGUCAACACUUCGCUUGAGGUGGCCAAAGUACUGGAGCUUCAGCUUUAGCAUCAUUCCUUCCAAAGAAAUCCCAGGGCUGAUCUCCUUCAGAAUGGACUGGUUGGAUCUCCUGGCAGUCCAAGGGACUCUCAAGA
RNAcentral lists this long non-coding RNA (2569 nucleotides) under Ovis aries (sheep). RNAcentral's name for it is "lncRNA (ENSOARG00000026932.1)". The record is from RNAcentral. Lineage: Eukaryota; Metazoa; Chordata; Mammalia; Artiodactyla; Bovidae.